Ribosomal RNA from Flavobacteriaceae bacterium, 2879 nucleotides. It matches the Rfam family "Bacterial large subunit ribosomal RNA". Lineage: Bacteria; Pseudomonadati; Bacteroidota; Flavobacteriia; Flavobacteriales; Flavobacteriaceae. The record is from Rfam.
AAGAAAAUCGUUAAGGGCGCAUGGCGGAUGCCUAGGCUUUGAGAGGCGAAGAAGGACGUGAUAAGCUGCGAAAAGCUGCGGGGAUUGGCACAUACGAUGUGAUCCGCAGAUAUCCGAAUGGGGCAACCCGUAUAGUUGAAGACUAUACAUCCUGUAAAGGAGGCGAACCCGGGGAACUGAAACAUCUAAGUACCUGGAGGAAGAGAAAAUAAUAAUGAUUCCGUUAGUAGUGGCGAGCGAACGCGGAAGAGCCCAAACCAGUUAUGUUUAGGCAUAAUUGGGGUUGUAGGACUACAAUAUGGACGAUAUAGUUAUAAUGGAAUCAGAUGGAAAUAUGAACCGAAGAGGGUGAGAGUCCCGUACAUGAAAUAAUUGUAUUACCUAGUAGUAUCCUGAGUAGGGCGGGACACGUGAAAUCCUGUCUGAAUCUGCCGGGACCAUCCGGUAAGGCUAAAUACUCCUCAAAGACCGAUAGUGAACCAGUACUGUGAAGGAAAGGUGAAAAGCACUGUGAAUAACAGGGUGAAAGAGAACCUGAAACCGUGCGCUUACAAGCGGUCGGAGCACAUUUAUGUGUGACGGCGUGCCUUUUGCAUAAUGAGCCUACGAGUUAAUUUUACUAGCGAGGUUAAGGUGUUCAGCACCGUAAGCCGUAGCGAAAGCGAGUCUGAAUAGGGCUAUUAGUUAGUAGGAUUAGACGCGAAACCGGCGUGAUCUACCCAUGGUCAGGUUGAAGCUGUAGUAACAUAUAGUGGAGGACCGAACCCGUUGACGUUGAAAAGUCUUGGGAUGAACUGUGGGUAGGGGUGAAAGGCCAAUCAAACCCGGAAAUAGCUCGUACUCCCCGAAAUGCAUUUAGGUGCAGCGUUGUGGUUAAGUUUAUUAGAGGUAGAGCUACUGAUUGGAUGCGGGGGCUUCACCGCCUACCAAUUCCUGACAAACUCCGAAUGCUAAUAAAUAUACACAGCAGUGAGGGCAUGGGUGCUAAGGUCCAUGUCCGAGAGGGAAAGAACCCAGACCAUCAGCUAAGGUCCCUAAAUAUAUGCUAAGUUGAAUAAACGCGGUUUGGUUGCCUAGACAGCUAGGAUGUUAGCUUGGAAGCAGCUAUUCAUUUAAAGAGUGCGUAACAGCUCACUAGUCGAGCGACCGAGCAUGGAUAAUAAUCGGGCAUAAGCAUAUUACCGAAGCUAUGGACAAGAAAUUGUGGUAGGGGAGCAUUCUAUUGGCGUUGAAGUAGUCUGGUGAUGGACUGUGGAGCGAAUAGAAAAGAAAAUGUAGGCAUAAGUAACGAUAAGGCGGGUGAGAAACCCGCCCACCGAAAGACUAAGGUUUCCUCAGCUAUGCUAAUCAGCUGAGGGUUAGUCGGGACCUAAGGCGCACCCGAGAGGGGAAGUCGAUGGUAAACGGGUUAAUAUUCCCGUACUUGCUUUAGAUGUGAUGGGGUGACGGAGUACUGACACCACUGCGUACUGACGGAAUAGUACGUUGAACUGUUUAGGUACUGGGUUUGUAGUUAAAUGCGCAGACUUAGCUAAGACAGGAUAGUACAUGAAAUCUUCGGAUGGAAUGAUAAUGUGGGUAAGGACUUCCAAGAAAAACCUCUAAACUUCAGUUUAAAGCGACUCGUACCGUAAACCGACACAGGUAGUUGGGAUGAGAAUUCUAAGGUGCUCGAGUGAUCCGUGGCUAAGGAACUAGGCAAAAUGGACCUGUAACUUCGGGAGAAAGGUCGCCCCGGUGUAAUAACCGGGGCCGCAGUGAAAAGGCCCAGGCGACUGUUUAUCAAAAACACAGGGCUAUGCUAAGAUGCAAGUUGAUGUAUAUGGCCUGACACCUGCCCGGUGCUGGAAGGUUAAGGGAGGAUGUUAUCUUUCGGGAGAAGCAUUUAACUGAAGCCCCAGUAAACGGCGGCCGUAACUAUAACGGUCCUAAGGUAGCGAAAUUCCUUGUCGGGUAAGUUCCGACCUGCACGAAUGGUGUAACGAUCUGGGCACUGUCUCAGCCACGAGCUCGGUGAAAUUGUAGUAUCGGUGAAGAUGCCGGUUACUCGCAAUGGGACGAAAAGACCCUGUGAACCUUUACUAUAGCUUCGUAUUGGCUUUGGAUACCGCAUGUGUAGGAUAGGUGGGAGAAGUUGAAGUGGCGUCGCCAGGCGUUGUGGAUUCAACCUUGAAAUACCACCCUUGCGUUAUUUGGAGUCUAAUCCCAGGAAUGGGAGACAGUGCGUGGUGGGUAGUUUGACUGGGGUGGUCGCCUCCAAAAGGGUAACGGAGGCUUCCAAAGGUACCCUCAUAACGGUUGGCAAUCGUUAGUAGAGUGUAAUGGCAUAAGGGUGCUUGACUGUGAGACAUACAAGUCGAUCAGGGACGAAAGUCGGGCAUAGUGAUCCGGUGGUUCCGUAUGGAAGGGCCAUCGCUCAAAGGAUAAAAGGUACUCCGGGGAUAACAGGCUAGUCUCCCCCAAGAGCUCACAUCGACGGGGAGGUUCGGCACCUCGAUGUCGGCUCGUCACAUCCUGGGGCUGGAGAAGGUCCCAAGGGUUGGGCUGUUCGCCCAUUAAAGUGGCACGCGAGCUGGGUUCAGAACGUCGUGAGACAGUUCGGUCUCUAUCUAUUGCGAGCGUUAGAAAUUUGAGUGGAGCUGUUCCUAGUACGAGAGGACCGGAAUGGACUGACCUCUGGUGUAUGAGUUGUUCCGCCAGGAGCAUGGCUCAGUAGCUACGUCGGGAAGAGAUAAGCGCUGAAAGCAUAUAAGUGCGAAACUCGCCACGAGAUGAGAUUUCUUUAAAGGGACGUUGGAGAUGACGACGUUGAUAGGCUACAGGUGUAAGGGCAGUGAUGUCUUAGCCGAGUAGUACUAAUUACCCGUAGAUUUUUUACA